This 532-nucleotide ribosomal RNA is filed under the name uncultured fungus. RNAcentral describes it as "SSU rRNA". It matches the Rfam family "Eukaryotic small subunit ribosomal RNA", at positions 109 to 644 of the family's 1831-position model. Lineage: Eukaryota; Fungi. The record is from RNAcentral.
GUUAUCGUUUAUUUGAUGGUACCUUACUACUUGGAUAACCGUGGUAAUUCUAGAGCUAAUACAUGCUAAAAGCCUCGACUUCGGGAGGGGUGUAUUUAUUAGAUAAAAAACCAAUGCCCUUCGGGGCUCCUUGGUGAUUCAUAAUAACUUAACGAAUCGCAUGGCCUUGUGCCGGCGAUGGUUCAUUCAAAUUUCUGCCCUAUCAACUUUCGAUGGUAGGAUAGUGGCCUACCAUGGUUUUAACGGGUAACAGGGAAUUAGGGUUCUAUUCCGGAGAGGGAGCCUGAGAAACGGCUACCACAUCCAAGGAAGGCAGCAGGCGCGCAAAUUACCCAAUCCCAAUACGGGGAGGUAGUGACAAUAAAUACUGAUACAGGGCUCUUUUGGGUCUUGUAAUUGGAAUGAGUACAAUUUAAAUCUCUUAACGAGGAACAAUUGGAGGGCAAGUCUGGUGCCAGCAGCCGCGGUAAUUCCAGCUCCAAUAGCGUAUAUUAAAGUUGUUGCAGUUAAAAAGCUCGUAGUUGAAACUUGG